GAGAAUUGAGAGAAACAAAAACUCUCGUCGCAUGCACAAGCUCGGCCGUAAGUUGUACGGUGUCACAAUAACUGGCCAUAGAGAAUACUGCCUUCCAUGCUUUCCAAAUGGGCUGAAACCAUCAGUAGAUAAUCCAAGAUAAACAUUUCUUCUCUCUUCCGCAAAUUCUGGAUAUGUUGACUGGAAAUGUUUUCAAGCCUUUGCAUCUGAAGGAUGUCUAAUCUCACCAUUUGUGGAAUGCUCUGCAUGCCAUCUCAUUGCUUUUGCUGUGCGCUCACACUGAUACAACCUCUUCAAUCUUUCCGUCAAAGGCAAAUACCACAUUCUUUUGAAUGGGAUCGGAACUCUUCCCCUCGUCUCCUGAUAACGAGGUUUCCCACAAAAUUUGCAUACAUUCCGUGUCUCAUCCGCUC
Molecule: long non-coding RNA, 413 nt
Filed under: Brassica napus (rape)
Lineage: Eukaryota; Viridiplantae; Streptophyta; Magnoliopsida; Brassicales; Brassicaceae
Description: long non-coding RNA (BNAP_LNC025745)
Source: RNAcentral